RNAcentral lists this ribosomal RNA (253 nucleotides) under uncultured bacterium. RNAcentral describes it as "partial 16S ribosomal RNA". It matches the Rfam family "Bacterial small subunit ribosomal RNA", at positions 524 to 776 of the family's 1533-position model. The record is from RNAcentral.
UCAGAAGGGGGCUAUCGUUGCUCGGAAUGACUGGGCGUAAAGGGCGCGUAGGCGGACGGCACAGUCAGGCGUGAAAUUCCUGGGCUCAACCUGGGGACUGCGUCUGAGACGUGUUGUCUUGAGUAUGGAAGAGGGUUGUGGAAUUUCCAGUGUAGAGGUGAAAUUCGUAGAUAUUGGAAAGAACACCGGUGGCGAAGGCGGCAACCUGGUCCAUUACUGACGCUGAGGCGCGAAAGCGUGGGGAGAAAACAGG